This 731-nucleotide small RNA is filed under the name Pongo abelii (Sumatran orangutan). Its description in RNAcentral is "retained intron". The record is from RNAcentral. Lineage: Eukaryota; Metazoa; Chordata; Mammalia; Primates; Hominidae.
CCCUUUGCAGAUCCCCUUGACCACACCCUCAUUCUCAGCUGGUGCUCAUGAAGGACAGAAGAGUCAAUGUCAGUACAAUGUCCUAGUCAUGCCCAGCCUCAGAACUCGCCGUGAGGAGGCAGAGAUGGAACUCUCAGCUCCAGGACCAUCCCCUUGGACCCCUGCAGCCCAGGCCCAUGUGAAUGAUGCUCCUGCUGUGACCCACCCUGGAUCUGCAGCCUGUGGUACCCCCUGCUGUAGUGAUACUGAGCUGGAAGCCAUCUGCCCUCACUAUCAGCAGCCAGAUUGUGACACCAGGACUGAAGACAAGGAGUUUCUUCACAAGGAAGACAUUCAUGAAGAUUUGGAAUCACAGGCAGAAAUAUCAGAAAACUAUGCUGGUGAUGUUUCCCAGGUACCUGAGCUUGGAGAUCUGUGUGAUGAUGUAUCAGAAAGAGACUGGGGAGUUCCUGAAGGCAGGAGGCUGCCACAAUCCCUCUCCCAAGAGGGGGACUUCACACCAGCUGCCAUGGGGCUCCUUAUGGGCCCCUUAGAGGAGAAAGAUCUGGACUGUAAUGGUUUCGACAGUCACUUCAGUCUGAGCCCAAACCUGAUGGCAUGUCAGGAAAUCCCUACAGAAGAGAGACCACAUCUGUAUGACAUGGGGGGCCAGAGUUUCCAGCACAGCAUGGACCUAACUGGUCUUGAGGGGGUUCCCACAGCUGAUAGUCCACUCAUAUGUAAUGAGUGUG